RNAcentral lists this long non-coding RNA (2011 nucleotides) under Sinocyclocheilus anshuiensis. Its description in RNAcentral is "lncRNA (ENSSANG00000046551.1)". The record is from RNAcentral. Lineage: Eukaryota; Metazoa; Chordata; Actinopteri; Cypriniformes; Cyprinidae.
UGUGUAUGAAGGACUGAAAGGACAAAAAAGUGGUUGUCUGGUAAAAUCAAAAUCAGAAGAAAAUUGUAGUCCACCAUCCCUUAAAACAGAAGUCAAGGAGUCAACUGUUGCAUCAAAUGAUGAAUGCAUUGCGUAUGAAGGACUGGCAGGACAAAAGAGUGCCUUUUUGGUACAAUCAGAACAGGGACACAAUUGUAGUCCGCCAUCUGUUGAACUAAAAGACAAGAAGCCAAAUGUUGCUCUACCGGAGACAUGCAUUGCAGAAGAAGGACUGACCGGACAAAAAAGAGACUUUAUUGUAAAAUCAGAACUGGUAGAAAACCGUAGUCCACCAUCUCUUAAAACAGAAGUCAAGGAGUCAACUGUUGCAUCAAAUGAUGAAUGCAUUGCGUAUGAAGGACUGGCAGGACAAAAGAGUGCCUUUUUGGUACAAUCAGAACAGGGACACAAUUGUAGUCCGCCAUCUGUUGAACUAAAAGACAAGAAGUCAAAUGUUGCUCUACCGGAGACAUGCAUUGCAGAAGAAGGACUGGCAGGACAAAAAAGAGACUUUAUUGUCAAAUCAGAACUGGUAGAAAACCGUAGUCCACCAUCUCUUAAAACAAAAGUCAAGGAGUCAACUGUUGCAUCAAAUGAUGAAUGCAUUGCGUAUGAAGGACUGGAAGGACAAAAGAGUGCCUUUUUGGUAAAAUCAGAACAGGGACACAAUUGUAGCCCGCCAUCUGUUGAACUAAAAGACAAGAAGCCAAAUGUUGCUCUACCGGAGACAUGCAUUGCAGAAGAAGGACUGACCGGACAAAAAAGAGACUUUAUUGUAAAAUCAGAACUGGUAGAAAACCGUAGUCCACCAUCAAUUAAAACAGAAGUCAAGGAGUCCACUGUUGCAUCAAAUGAUGAAUGCAUUGCGUAUGAAGGACUGGCAGGACAAAAGAGUGCCUUUUUGGUACAAUCAGAACAGGGACACAAUUGUAGUCCGCCAUCUGUUGAACUAAAAGACAAGAAGGCAAAUGUUGCUCUACCGGAGACAUGCAUUGCAGAAGAAGGACUGGCAGGACAAAAAAGAGACUUUAUUGUAAAAUCAGAACUUGUAGAAAACCGUAGUCGACCAUCUCUUAAAACAGAACUCAAGGAGCCAACUGUUGCUUCAGCAGAGGACUGCAUUGCAGAUAAAGGACUGACAGGACCAAAAAGUGACAGUAUGGUCAAAUCCGUGACUAAGACAGUGCCUGAAAUUCAGGGGUCAGCUGAGAGGGAGAUAACCAAGAUUCAACCGAAUAAGCAGAAAAAUGAAAAAACAAAGAAAAUUAGAGUACCCAAGUCCCAAUCUCUCAAGCAAUGCAGAAAACCAUUUCCAAAGAAAACGGCGUUUUCCAAGCACAAGCUAAAAUCUGGUAACAUUAGUACUGGUUCUGAUGAUUCUGUGCUUUUCGUUCCAGAUAUUGUGGUUAAAAUGAACUGGCCACAAAAGAAAAAACUACCUGGUAUAUCUGCAAACAAACGCUGUAGUGGCGAGAGUCAGAACUGCAGUAAGGUGAAAAAAUUCAAAGAACACAGACAAGAAAGACGAGAUAAUCCUGACAGAACCUCAACGACCCAUAGAGAAAACCUACAGAAAGUGACAGAGAAAGUGUCUGAUCAAUCAAAUGACAUACCAUCCCAGCAGUCAGAAAAUAAACCGGAGCUGCAUGGUAUUCUGUCAGUGAAUAAAAUAAAAAGAACCGAGCCAAAGAAAGUGAGAUUUGACUUGUAUGGGUCCAAAACAGAAAAACAGUACUAUGCCCCAGAACGGCGUUUUUCAGCUCCUGCUACAUUAACGGUCUCUGAUUGCAAAGACAAUACCGAUAUGCUUUCUGCUAAACAAAAAGUUCUCAACCAGUGGAGUAGCACCUUUAUACCUAAAACAAAGAAGACUUUUCAUCCCAGGUCACCACAGGAAAAAAAAACACAGAAACCUCAGGACCUCUUAAAGUCAAAUAUGAGUGCAUUAAAAAGCCAUUUGACUCACAGAGCC